AGCGUAUAUUAAAGUUGUUGCGGUUAAAAAGCUCGUAGUUGGAUUUCUUCCAGGGGCAGUCGGUCCACACUACGUGUGCGUAUCUGAUUUGACUUUGGAAUCCUCUUGGGGAACAUCUCUGCGCUUAACUGCGUGGAAUGGUAUUCAAGACUUUUACUUUGAGGAAAUUAGAGUGUUCACGGCAGGCAAUCGCCCUGAAUACAUUAGCAUGGAAUAAUAAUAUAGGAUUUCGGUUCUAUUUUGUUGGUUUCUAGAGCUGAAAUAAUGAUUAAUAGGGACACUUGGGGGCAUUCGUAUUAUCACGUCAGGGGUGGAAUUCUUGGAUUGUGUUACGACGAACUACUGCGAAAGCAUUUGCCAAGGAUGUUUUCAUUGAUCAAGAACGAAAGUAAGGGGAUCGAAGACGCUUAGAUACCGUCGUAGUCUUUACCAUAAACUAUGCCAACUAGGGAUUGGAGGGCGUUCUUCAUUCGACUCCUUCAGCACCUUAUGAGAAAUCAAAGUUUUUGGGUUCCGGGGGGAGUAUGGUCGCAAGGCUGGAACUUAAAG
RNAcentral lists this ribosomal RNA (549 nucleotides) under uncultured marine picoplankton. Its description in RNAcentral is "SSU rRNA". It matches the Rfam family "Eukaryotic small subunit ribosomal RNA", at positions 596 to 1149 of the family's 1831-position model. The record is from RNAcentral.